GCGUUCCUACCGCCGGCAUCCACGCUGAACGCACUGGGAUCUACACCAAGUGAGGCCUCCAAGACUACAAACUUCAGUGAGAUACAGCGGGGAACUUUCAGACCAUGGAGAGAAGCAAGGUGGGAAAAUUGAGACUCUCAGCGAGGUUGGGCUGCUGCAGAUUGUGGGUUCAGCACUUGGAGCCUCCCAGGAGCCUGUGUGAUUGGUUCAAGAAUGAACACGUGGCCCAAUCCUGGCUGAGGAGACAUGAGGGGACGUCUACCCAGGGACCUCGGGGAAAGAUUUCCUUCCUCCUAAGGAGACAAAGAGAGAGUUUUUCUUUUCCUCCAGGUGAUGGUAUGCCUGGAAGUGAUGUUUCAAACUGCCUUACACAGCAGUUUUUCUGAGGAUGGCAGAACCAAGAGAUGAAAAGAUCCUAGUUCCCUGCGGACAUUGUUGAGCCAUUGAUUUUGCCAUGCCUGAAACCAGCUCUACCUGUGGACAUCCUGUUAUUUGAGAUAAUAUACUUCCUAAUUGUCUAAGCCAGUUUGAUAAUGGUUUCUUUUACUUGCCACUUAAAGGAAUCCAAAUUGGAAAAGCAGAAAUAAAAUUGUCACUAUUUGCGGAUGACAUGAUACUAUACAUAGAAAAUCCUAAAGACACCACCAGAAAACCACUAGAGGUCAUCAAUGAAUUUGAUAAAGUUGCAGGAUACAAAAUUAACACACAGAAAUCUGUUGCACUUCUAUACACUAACAACAAAAGAACAGAAAGAGAAAUUAAAGAAACAAUCACAGUUACCAUUGCACCAAAAAGAAUAAAAUACUUAGGAAUAAACCUUCCUAAGGAGACAAAAGA
Long non-coding RNA from Physeter macrocephalus (sperm whale), 837 nucleotides. RefSeq lists it as uncharacterized. The transcript is spliced from 3 exons. NCBI's taxonomy places the organism in Eukaryota, Metazoa, Chordata, Mammalia, Artiodactyla, Physeteridae. The record is from RefSeq and is a predicted model, not a curated record.